GAUGAACGCUGGCGGCGUGCCUAAUACAUGCAAGUCGAGCGAACAGAUGAGGAGCUUGCUCCUCUGACGUUAGCGGCGGACGGGUGAGUAACACGUGGAUCAUCUCCCUAUAAGACUGGGAUCACUUCGGGACACCGGAGCUAAUACCGGAUAAUCUACUGAUCCGCAUGGUUCAAUAGUGAAAGACGGCUUUGCUGUCACUUCUAGCUGGAUCCGGGCCGCAUUAGCUAGUUGGUAAGGUAACGGCCUACCAAGGCAAGGAUGCGUAAGCGACGGAACGGGCGGAUCGGCCACAUGAGAGCGGAGACAGCGACAAGACUACUACGGGAGGCAGCAGUAGGGAAUCGGCCGCAGUGGGGGGGAGCCUGGCGGAGCAACGGCGCGUGUGUGAUGGAGGUCUUCGGAUCGUGAAGCUCGGUUAUGAGUGAAGAACAGAUGUGUAAGGAACUAUGCACGUCUUGACGGUACCUGAUCAGAAAGCCACGGCUAACUACGUG
RNAcentral lists this ribosomal RNA (497 nucleotides) under uncultured bacterium. RNAcentral's name for it is "partial 16S ribosomal RNA". It matches the Rfam family "Bacterial small subunit ribosomal RNA", at positions 28 to 507 of the family's 1533-position model. The record is from RNAcentral.